RNAcentral lists this transfer RNA (83 nucleotides) under Babjeviella inositovora NRRL Y-12698. It matches the Rfam family "tRNA". Rfam says of the family: Transfer RNA (tRNA) molecules are approximately 80 nucleotides in length. Lineage: Eukaryota; Fungi; Ascomycota; Pichiomycetes; Serinales. The record is from Rfam by way of RNAcentral.
GUUGCAUUGAUGAAAUGGUAGACAUAACGCUUUUAAGCUGCGUUGUCCGUAUGGGCUUGUAGGUUCGAGUCCUACAUGCAAUA